UUUGUGUUUUGCAUACUUUUAGAUAUUGGAUUUCACUCAAAGAGCACCAAAUGACUCCUCCCAUCAUAUUAUGAUGUUCCUCAAGUUUUGGAGUCAAUCCGAUAUCGAUUGGUCCACGAAAUUGAACAAUUCAGGAUCAUACGAAGUUCUUCUAAAAUGGAGUGGUUGGUGUUUUGCAUGGUUUUAGGGAUUGGAUUUCAC
Molecule: long non-coding RNA, 201 nt
Filed under: Prunus persica (peach)
Lineage: Eukaryota; Viridiplantae; Streptophyta; Magnoliopsida; Rosales; Rosaceae
Description: long non-coding RNA (PPER_LNC002264)
Source: RNAcentral